UACGUAGGGGGCGAGCGUUGUCCGGAUUUACUGGGCGUAAAGCGCGUGUAGGCGGCCGGAUAAGUCGGGUGUGAAAGCCCGGGGCUCAACCCCGGGAUGCCGCCCGAGACUGCUCGGCUUGAGGACGGAAGAGGGGCGUGGAAUUCCUGGUGUAGCGGUGAAAUGCGUAGAGAUCAGGAGGAACACCCGUGGCGAAGGCGGCGCCCUGGUCCGUUACUGACGCUGAGACGCGAAAGCGCGGGGAGCGAACGGG
RNAcentral lists this ribosomal RNA (253 nucleotides) under uncultured bacterium. RNAcentral describes it as "partial 16S ribosomal RNA". It matches the Rfam family "Bacterial small subunit ribosomal RNA", at positions 524 to 776 of the family's 1533-position model. The record is from RNAcentral.